AAUGAACGUUGGCGGCGUGGAUUAGGCAUGCAAGUCGAGCGUACCUAGCAAUAGGGAAGCGGCAAACGGGGUAGUAAUGCGUCGGAACGUGCCCUUGGGUCGGGGAUAGCCACGGGAAACUGUGGGUAAUACCCGAUGACAUCGUGAGAUCAAAGGUGUGACUCCGCCCGAGGAGCGGCCGACGUGGUAUUAGGUAGUUGGUAGGGUAAUGGCCUACCAAGCCUAGGAUGCCUAGGGGGUGUGAGAGCAUGGCCCCCCACCAUUGGGACGUGAGAUACUGCCCACGACACCUACGGGUGGCUGCAGUCGAGGAUCUUCGGCAAUGGGCGCAAGCCUGACCGAGCGACGCCGCGUGCGGGA
RNAcentral lists this ribosomal RNA (360 nucleotides) under uncultured bacterium. Its description in RNAcentral is "bacterial SSU rRNA". It matches the Rfam family "Bacterial small subunit ribosomal RNA", at positions 28 to 408 of the family's 1533-position model. The record is from RNAcentral.